Molecule: unclassified non-coding RNA, 239 nt
Filed under: uncultured fungus
Lineage: Eukaryota; Fungi
Description: sequence contains ITS2
Rfam family: 5.8S ribosomal RNA (bases 1-52)
Source: RNAcentral
AACGCACAUUGCGCCCUGUGGUAUUCCGCAGGGCAUGCCUGUUCGAGCGUCAGUACAACACUCAAGCUCAGCUUGGUCUUGAGCCCAGCUGGUCACGGCGGGUUUUAAAAUCAGUGGCGGCGCCUCCAGGCUCUAAGCGUAGUAAUACUCCUCGCUAUUGAGUCCUGGUGGACGCUGGCCAUCAACCCCAACUCUCUAAGUUUGACCUCGGAUCAGGUAGGGAUACCCGCUGAACUUAA